GAGCGGACCGACGGGAGCUUGCUCCCUUAGGUCAGCGGCGGACGUGUGAGUAACACGUGGGUAACCUGCCUGUAAGACUGGGAUAACUCCGGGAAACCGGGGCUAAUACCGGAUGCUUGAUUGAACCGCAUGGUUCAAUCAUAAAAGGUGGCUUUUAGCUACCACUUACAGAUGGACCCGCGGCGCAUUAGCUAGUUGGUGAGGUAACGGCUCACCAAGGCGACGAUGCGUAGCCGACCUGAGAGGGUGAUCGGCCACACUGGGACUGAGACACGGCCCAGACUCCUACGGGAGGCAGCAGUAGGGAAUCUUCCGCAAUGGACGAAAGUCUGACGGAGCAACGCCGCGUGAGUGAUGAAGGUUUUCGGAUCGUAAAACUCUGUUGUUAGGGAAGAACAAGUACCGUUCGAAUAGGGCGGUACCUUGACGGUACCUAACCAGAAAGCCACGGCUAACUACGUGCCAGCAGCCGCGGUAAUACGUAGGUGGCAAGCGUUGUCCGGAAUUAUUGGGCGUAAAGCGCGCGCAGGCGGUUUCUUAAGUCUGAUGUGAAAGCCCCCGGCUCAACCGGGGAGGGUCAUUGGAAACUGGGGAACUUGAGUGCAGAAGAGGAGAGUGGAAUUCCACGUGUAGCGGUGAAAUGCGUAGAGAUGUGGAGGAACACCAGUGGCGAAGGCGACUCUCUGGUCUGUAACUGACGCUGAGGCGCGAAAGCGUGGGGAGCGAACAGGAUUAGAUACCCUGGUAGUCCACGCCGUAAACGAUGAGUGCUAAGUGUUAGAGGGUUUCC
RNAcentral lists this ribosomal RNA (790 nucleotides) under Priestia megaterium. RNAcentral's name for it is "bacterial SSU rRNA". It matches the Rfam family "Bacterial small subunit ribosomal RNA", at positions 64 to 835 of the family's 1533-position model. Lineage: Bacteria; Bacillati; Bacillota; Bacilli; Caryophanales; Bacillaceae. The record is from RNAcentral.